UGCAGUCGAACGGAAAGGCCCAGCUUGCUGGGUGCUCGAGUGGCGAACGGGUGAGUAACACGUGGGUGAUCUGCCUCUAACUUCGGGAUAAGCUUGGGAAACUGGGUCUAAUACCGGAUAGGACAAUCGUUUAGUGUCGGUUGUGGAAAGUUUUUUCGGUUAGGGAUGAGCCCGCGGCCUAUCAGCUUGUUGGUGGGGUAAUGGCCUACCAAGGCGUCGACGGGUAGCCGGCCUGAGAGGGUGGACGGCCACAUUGGGACUGAGAUACGGCCCAGACUCCUACGGGAGGCAGCAGUGGGGAAUAUUGCACAAUGGGCGCAAGCCUGAUGCAGCGACGCCGCGUGGGGGAUGACGGCCUUCGGGUUGUAAACCUCUUUCGACAGGGACGAAGCUUUGGUGACGGUACCUGUAUAAGAAGCACCGGCUAACUACGUGCCAGCAGCCGCGGUAAUACGUAGGGUGCGAGCGUUGUCCGGAAUUACUGGGCGUAAAGAGCUCGUAGGUGGUUUGUCGCGUCGUCUGUGAAAUUCCGGGGCCUAACUUCGGGCGUGCAGGCGAUACGGGCAUAACUUGAGUGCUGUAGGGGAGACUGGAAUUCCUGGUGUAGCGGUGGAAUGCGCAGAUAUCAGGAGGAACACCGAUGGCGAAGGCAGGUCUCUGGGCAGUAACUGACGCUGAGGAGCGAAAGCAUGGGGAGCGAAUAGGAUUAGAUACCCUGGUAGUCCAUGCCGUAAACGGUGGGCGCUAGGUGUAGGGGUCUUCCACGACUUCUGUGCCGUAGCUAACGCAUUAAGCGCCCCGCCUGGGGAGUACGGCCGCAAGGCUAAAACUCAAAGGAAUUGACGGGGGCCCGCACAAGCGGCGGAGCAUGUGGAUUAAUUCGAUGCAACGCGAAGAACCUUACCUGGGCUUGACAUAUACAGGACUGGGCCAGAGAUGGUCUUUCCCUUUGUG
This 954-nucleotide ribosomal RNA is filed under the name uncultured bacterium. RNAcentral describes it as "bacterial SSU rRNA". It matches the Rfam family "Bacterial small subunit ribosomal RNA", at positions 56 to 1023 of the family's 1533-position model. The record is from RNAcentral.